AGGCUUUCGGGACGGCGGCGGGAAGAUGGCGGCCCCCAAGGGCCGGCUUGAACCCGUGGAGCCAGAGGGGAACGCGGGUCGCCAGGGGAGCUCUGGAGUGGAGGUGGUGUUUCCCUCCGAUCCCGCCACCCCCGCCCCGCUGUGCCCUCACGGACCCACUCUUCUGUUUGUGAAGGUGAACCAAGGGAAAGAAGAAACACGGAGGUUUUAUGCCUGCUCAGCCUGUAGAGAUAGAAAAGACUGUAAUUUUUUUCAAUGGGAAGAUGAAAAGCUGUCAGAAGCUAGACUUGCUGCCCGAGAAGCUCACAACCGAAGAUGUCAGCCUCCUCUAUCCCGAACGCAGUGUGUGGAAAGGUACUUGAAGUUUAUUGAGUUGCCCUUGUCUCAGAGAAAGUUUUGUCAAAGGUGUCAGCAGUUGCUCUUACCAGACGACUGGGAGAAGCAUGGUGAGCAUCCGGUGGUGGGUGAUAUUUCCAUCACCCAGUUAAAAAGGCCCAGUCAACUCCUGUAUCCACUGGAAAACAAGAAGACAAAUGCCCAGUAUUUGUUUGCUGAUAGGAGCUGUCAGUUCUUGGUAGACCUACUUUCUACCCUUGGAUUCAGAAGAGUACUAUGUGUUGGAACACCAAGGUUGCAUGAGCUGAUCAGGUUGAAAGCAUCAGGUGACAAGAAGUCUAACAUUAAAAGCCUUUUGUUGGAUAUUGAUUUUCGGUAUUCACAGUUUUAUAUGGAAGAUAGCUUUUGCCAUUAUAACAUGUUUAACCAUCACUUCUUUGAUGGAAAGGCUGCCCUUGAAGUAUGCAGAACAUUUUUACAGGAAGAUAAAGGUGAAGGAGUCAUUAUGGUGACAGAUCCUCCUUUUGGUGGCUUGGUUGAACCUCUGGCUAUUACAUUCAAGAAGUUAAUUGCUAUGUGGAAAGAAGGUCAAAGCCAAGAUAACAGUCACAAAGAACUACCCAUUUUCUGGAUUUUCCCCUAUUUUUUUGAAUCCCGAAUUUGUCAGUUUUUUCCAAGCUUCUGCAUGCUGGAUUACCAGGUCGAUUAUGAUAAUCAUGCACUUUAUAAACAUGGAAAGACAGGUCGGAAACAGUCUCCUGUGCGUAUUUUCACCAAUAUUCCACCCAACAAAAUAAUCCUUCCUAUUGAAGAAGGGUAUAGAUUUUGCCCUCUGUGUCAACGAUAUGUUUCCCUAGAGAAUCAACACUGUGAGCACUGUAAUUCUUGCACAUCCAAGGAUGGCAGGAAAUGGAACCAUUGCUUUCUCUGCAAAAAGUGUGUAAAGCCUUCCUGGAUCCACUGUAGCAUUUGCAAUCACUGUGCUCUUCCAGAUCAUUCUUGCGAGGGCCCUAAAGACGGCUGCUUUGUUUGUGGUGAAUUAGAUCAUAAACGUAGUACUUGCCCUAACAUCUCUACAUCUAAGAAAGUUAACAAAGCUGUCAGAAAGCAGAAGCAAAGAAAAAGUAAUAAGAUGAAAAUGGAGACCACUAAAGGACAAUCCAUGAAUCAUACAUCUGUUACAGGGAAGAAGAAAAGGAAAGAAAGAGCCCAUCAAUAUCCUUGCUCUUAAAUGUCCAGUGACUUGAGAAUAAGAAAGAUUUAUAGUCCAGCCUUUGAUGCCAUUUUCUGAAAGUGCCACACGGGACUUAAAUUCUGUCGCUUUCAGAGAUUAGAAGCUUGUUGAUGGCAGGGGCCUAUGGACAUCAUUAUGUGUGUUCACUGGCUCCUAGAGAUGUGCCCUGCACACAGUGAUAUUAUAGAGACAACCAACGGCAGCACGUAUGACCUCAUUCCUCCUCCCACAACCUUGGGAAGCGGGCAGCCAGGCUAGCACAUUUCUUCACCCUCCAAGUAGUAGCUGCUCAUAAAUACAGAUUGAGUGAAUAGAAGUACCAUUUAAUAUACCACUUUAUGCCUCAAAACCCUAACAGCUAUGUGAGUAAGAAGCUAAAACGCUUAGAGCUGCCUAGGUAAGCAAAGCUUGCUCAAAAUGCAAAGGGAAAUCUAAUGUCACUUAUUUGAUUUGAUUUUAAUUGAAACAUUAGGACAUAGGUUAAAUUACUUGAGGGUCAGCUAAGAAGGUCGUUGCAAUAAAGUGAAGAUAAGAUCUCUACUGUUUGAUUUCAGGCGAUUUAGUAUAAAUGUUAACUCAGCAAGACUGAGGGAAAAAAGCAUCAAAAGUGAGCAAGCAGCUCUCAGAGCUCUGAGCUGAGUUUUAUCCCUGGACAUUAGCUGGACAGUCACAAGAUUCUCACGUUGUUUAGUUGCUUAAUACCCCUGCAGACUAGAAGUGUAACAUCUGGUGGUCUCUCAGAAACUAAGCCUGAGUAGAUGGGCCAGUUUCUUCAUCUGCAAACAUGGAGGCGAGGAGUGGGAGAAAACUAGAGAUAGCCUGAACAUUCCACAUGCUUAAAGAGGACAAAGGAAACUAAAGGUGCUACCUAGUAACUGUACAAUUAAUACAUGAGCCAGGUAAAUCAAAGAAAAUGAAAAGCAACUCUAAUCCUACCACCCAGAGGUAACCACUGUCACAACUUCUGUGUAUGUUCUGUCAGAUAGUCUUGUCUAAAUAGCUAUACAGACAGACACACUCUAAAAUUCCCCCACAAAAAUGGAAUGGUAAAUACAUACUGUUUUGUAAUCCUCUCCUUUUUAGAAACAUGUUGUGAACAUCGUUUUAUAUCUACCACAAUAGUAGUAUUCUUCAGUAUCGAUGUACCAUAUUUAAAAAAAAAUUAAUCUGUGGUUGGACAUCUAAGUUGUUUGUAUUUUUUCCCUAUUGUAAAUGACUCUAUGAUGAACAUACUUAAAACCAAAUCUUUUCUUAUUUCCUUAGGAUUGUAGGGGAGGAAGACAAAUCCUCUACCCUCUAGGUCCUUCUGGCUGGGCUAUGAAUUAAAUUCACGUGAGACAAUAACAGAGAGAAUCAAACAAAGCUUUAUAACAUGUAUACAUGGGAGAAACUCAGGAAAACUGAGCAACUCAGCCAUCUAGCC
Diceros bicornis minor is the source of this 2993-nucleotide RNA transcript. It is a transcript of the gene named zinc finger CCHC-type containing 4, with no coding region annotated. The transcript is spliced from 14 exons. The record is from RefSeq and is a predicted model, not a curated record. NCBI's taxonomy places the organism in Eukaryota, Metazoa, Chordata, Mammalia, Perissodactyla, Rhinocerotidae.